UGCUCAUAGAUUCGAUGCCGCGCCUGCUCUCUCCAGCGCGCCUCUUGAGCGAAUUACCAGGCGGAUGGUCAUAUUCUUCACGAAAUUCGUCGCCCUGUCGUCGGCGAUCUUCGAGUUGGUUGCCACCGAGGUCGUCCGCCCCGACGGCCUUGAACCGUGUGAAGAACGGCCACAUCCUCCCCAUCGCCGGAUUCGACAGAGAGAUGGGCAUUGCAGGGAUGGGCGCCUGUCGAGGGAAGCCAUGCCAUGGAAGAAUGUUAGAGCUCUCCCCCGCUCCCUAUUCACAACCGCCGUUCCCGCCAACGGCGCUACAGACCCACGUGGCGACUGAAGGUCAUACCGGCCACCUGGCGGCCACCGUGGCCGAAUCAAUACGUGCUUACGUGUCAAAUAAAUAAUAAUAUUUUCUCGCGCAUUAAUGUGCGUGCUUCCAAAUAAUAUUCCGAAAUCAGGAUGAGAUGUGCGUGCGUUAAAGCUUGUGACGCGGCAGAAGGUCAACAGUCUGACUUCCGGGCUCCACGGCCUGUAGACGCCGUUCAGAUGCCGGAGAGACGCCGGAGACGGAACGUGAGGUGCGGGUUACACCGGCGGUCGCGCCCGAGGGACGUCGUCUUCUCCGGCACCCCGUCGCCUUCUGCGCCAGAUCCAAGACGACUGCCGGCCGGAGAUCGCCGGUAAGGUCCUCUCUCUCUCUCUCUCUCUCUCUCUCUCUCUCUNNNN
Molecule: long non-coding RNA, 720 nt
Filed under: Spirodela polyrhiza (greater duckweed)
Lineage: Eukaryota; Viridiplantae; Streptophyta; Magnoliopsida; Alismatales; Araceae
Description: long non-coding RNA (SPOL_LNC000788)
Source: RNAcentral